ACGAACGCUGGCGGCGUGCUUAACACAUGCAAGUCGAACGGAAAGGCCCUGCUUUUGUGGGGUGCUCGAGUGGCGAACGGGUGAGUAACACGUGAGUAACCUGCCCUUGACUUUGGGAUAACUUCAGGAAACUGGGGCUAAUACCGGAUAGGAGCUCCUGCUGCAUGGUGGGGGUUGGAAAGUUUCGGCGGUUGGGGAUGGACUCGCGGCUUAUCAGCUUGUUGGUGGGGUAGUGGCUUACCAAGGCUUUGACGGGUAGCCGGCCUGAGAGGGUGACCGGCCACAUUGGGACUGAGAUACGGCCCAGACUCCUACGGGAGGCAGCAGUGGGGAAUAUUUCACAAUGGGCGGAAGCCUGAUGCAGCAACGCCGCGUGCGGGAUGACGGCCUUCGGGUUGUAAACCGCUUUCGCCUGUGACGAAGCGUGAGUGACGGUAAUGGGUAAAGAAGCACCGGCUAACUACGUG
RNAcentral lists this ribosomal RNA (467 nucleotides) under uncultured bacterium. Its description in RNAcentral is "partial 16S ribosomal RNA". It matches the Rfam family "Bacterial small subunit ribosomal RNA", at positions 29 to 507 of the family's 1533-position model. The record is from RNAcentral.